Molecule: ribosomal RNA, 230 nt
Filed under: uncultured bacterium
Lineage: Bacteria
Description: partial 16S ribosomal RNA
Rfam family: Bacterial small subunit ribosomal RNA
Source: RNAcentral
UGAGCAAUCUGCCCUUCACAUCGGAAUAACCAUUGGAAACGAUGGCUAAUACCGAAUAUGACUUCGGAUCGCAUGAUCUGAAGUGGAAAGCUCCGGCGGAGAAGGAUGAGCUCGCGGCCUAUCAGCUAGUUGGUGUGGGUAAUGGCCCACAAGGCGACGACGGGUAGCCGGCUGAGGAGGGUGACCCGGCCACACGUGGGACUGGAGACACGGCCCAGACUCCGUACGGG